This 597-nucleotide ribosomal RNA is filed under the name uncultured bacterium. Its description in RNAcentral is "bacterial SSU rRNA". It matches the Rfam family "Bacterial small subunit ribosomal RNA", at positions 112 to 704 of the family's 1533-position model. The record is from RNAcentral.
AAUACUUAGGAAUCUGCCCAUUAAUGGGGGACAACAGUUGGAAACGACUGCUAAUACCGCAUACGCCCUACGGGGGAAAGCAGGGGAUCUUCGGACCUUGCGUUAAUGGAUGAGCCUAAGUCGGAUUAGCUAGUUGGUGGGGUAAAGGCCUACCAAGGCGACGAUCUGUAGCGGGUCUGAGAGGAUGAUCCGCCACACUGGGACUGAGACACGGCCCAGACUCCUACGGGAGGCAGCAGUGGGGAAUAUUGGACAAUGGGGGGAACCCUGAUCCAGCCAUGCCGCGUGUGUGAAGAAGGCCUUUUGGUUGUAAAGCACUUUAAGCGAGGAGGAGGCUACUAGUAUUAAUACUACUGGAUAGUGGACGUUACUCGCAGAAUAAGCACCGGCUAACUCUGUGCCAGCAGCCGCGGUAAUACAGAGGGUGCGAGCGUUAAUCGGAUUUACUGGGCGUAAAGCGUGCGUAGGUGGCCAAUUAAGUCAAAUGUGAAAUCCCCGAGCUUAACUUGGGAAUUGCAUUCGAUACUGGUUGGCUAGAGUAUGGGAGAGGAUGGUAGAAUUCUAGGUGUAGCGGUGAAAUGCGUAGAGAUCUGGAGG